Molecule: ribosomal RNA, 1264 nt
Filed under: Pyrrhopeplus posthumus
Lineage: Eukaryota; Metazoa; Arthropoda; Insecta; Hemiptera; Pyrrhocoridae
Description: 16S ribosomal RNA
Rfam family: Archaeal large subunit ribosomal RNA (bases 827-1194)
Source: RNAcentral
UUAUUAUUUUAUUAUUAAUUUAUAUUAUUAAUUUAAUUUAAUUAAAAUAAUAUUUAAUUUUAGUAUAUUUUAUUGAAAUAUUUAUUUUAAUGAUAGUAUAUCAGUACUGUAAAGGGUGAAUAAUAUUUAUGUAAAAGUAUGAUUAUUUCAGUACCUUUUGUAUCAGGGUUUAUUUAUUAAAAUUUAAUGAUGUUAAUUUUCCCGAAAUUAAAGGAGAUAAAAUUAAAUGUAAUUUUAUGUUAUAUAAUAAUUUAUAAUUUAAUUUUAGUAAUUACAUGUUAUUCAACUUUAAAUAUCUGGUUAUCUUAGAAUUAAAUUUAAUUUAGAAUUAUUUUAGUUAAUUUAUAAUUUAAUUUAAUUUAAUUAGAAUAAUUUAAUAUUGUUAGGGAUUAGCUUAAUUUUAUUAUGUAUAAUUAUUAUAAAUAUUUUUUAACUGUAGGUUUAGAAAUGGCCAUCUUUUAUUUUGUUAUAAUUAAUUUUUUAAAUUAAUUUAUUUAUAUAUAAUUUAUAUUUAUAUAAGGUAUAAAAAUUAAAUGAUAUUAUUUUUGAUUUAAUGAUAAAAUUAGUAGAUUUUAAAUUUAAAUUUAGGAACUCGGCAAGUAUUUCCUUUGCCUGUUUAACAAAAACAUGUCUUAUAUGUUAAUUAAUUUUAAGUCUGACCUGCUCAAUGAUUAUUUUAAAUUGCUAUAGUAUUUUAACUAUACAAAGGUAGCAUAAUAAUUUGUCUUUUAAUUGGAGGCUGGAAUGAAUGGUUGGACAAAAGGUGAACUUUCUUAAUUUAAAUUAUAAUUAAAUUUAAUUUUUUUGUAAAAAAGCUUAAAUUAAGUUGUGGGACGAGAAGACCCUAUAGAAAUUUAAUUAAUAUAUUAAUUUUUUGCUAUAGUUUAUUUUACAGUAUUUUAGUAUUUUAAUUUGUGUUGGGGUGACAGUAGAAAAUUAUUAACUUCUAUUAUUAAAUAAUCAUAAAUUAAUGUUUUAUUGAUCCUUUUAUAUGGAUUAUAAGAUUAAUUUACCUUAGGGAUAACAGCGUUAUUACUCUGGAGAGUUCUUAUUGAUGGAGUAGUUUGCGACCUCGAUGUUGGAUUAAAGUUAGAUUUAUAGUGCAGGAGCUUAAUUUCUAGGUCUGUUCGACCUUUAAAUCUUUACAUGAUCUGAGUUCAAACCGGCGUGAGCCAGGUUGGUUUCUAUCUACAAUUAUUAAUUAAUAUUAUAGUACGAAAGGACCUAAUAUUUUUAAUACUUAAUUAAUUAUUGAUUAAUAUUA